Molecule: unclassified non-coding RNA, 381 nt
Filed under: soil metagenome
Description: partial contains 5.8S ribosomal RNA, internal transcribed spacer 2, and large subunit ribosomal RNA
Rfam family: 5.8S ribosomal RNA (bases 1-120)
Source: RNAcentral
GUUGAAGAACGCAGCGAAAUGCGAUAAGUAAUGUGAAUUGCAGAAUUCAGUGAAUCAUCGAAUCUUUGAACGCACCUUGCGCUCCUUGGUAUUCCGAGGAGCAUGCCUGUUUGAGUGUCAUUAAUAUAUCAACCUCUUCAGCUUAUGCUUGUUGAGUGUUGGAUGGUGGGGGUUUGCUGGUGUCUUAUGAAGUCAGCUCCUCUGAAAUGCAUUAGCGGAACAAUUUGUUGACCGUUCAUUGGUGUGAUAAAAAUAUCUACGCUAUUGACGUCAGUCAGUUCAGCUUCUAACAGUCCAUUGACUUGGACAAAUUUUUCAUUAAUGUGACCUCAAAUCAGGUAGGACUACCCGCUGAACUUAAGCAUAUCAAUAAGCGGAGGA